This 382-nucleotide ribosomal RNA is filed under the name uncultured eukaryote. RNAcentral's name for it is "partial 18S ribosomal RNA". It matches the Rfam family "Eukaryotic small subunit ribosomal RNA", at positions 592 to 976 of the family's 1831-position model. The record is from RNAcentral.
UGUAAGCGUAUACCAAAGUUGUUGCAGUUAAAACGCUCGUAGUCGGAAUUUGGCAGUUCCGGAUGUGUGCACGUCGUGUGCGCACUUCGCGGGGAUUGCUUUUGUGGUCUUGCGUAGGAUGAGGCACUUUUAUUAGUGAACGUCCUCACGCAACCACUUUUUACUGUGAGAAAAUCAGAGUGCUCAAAGCAGGCAUUUGCCGUGAAUGUAUUAGCAUGGAAUAAUAGAAUAGGACUUGGUUCUAUUUUGUUGGUUUGUUGGGACUGAGUAAUGAUUAAGAGGGACAGUUGGGGGCAUUUGUAUUUCGGUGCUAGAGGUGAAAUUCUUAGAUUACCGAAAGACAAACUGCCGCGAAAGCGUCUGCCAAGGAUGUCUUCAUUGA